RNAcentral lists this transfer RNA (76 nucleotides) under Actinomycetospora sp. NBRC 106375. RNAcentral's name for it is "tRNA-Arg". It matches the Rfam family "tRNA". From Rfam's summary of the family: Transfer RNA (tRNA) molecules are approximately 80 nucleotides in length. Lineage: Bacteria; Bacillati; Actinomycetota; Actinomycetes; Pseudonocardiales; Pseudonocardiaceae. The record is from RNAcentral.
GCCCCCGUAGCUCAGGGGAUAGAGCACCGCUCUCCUAAAGCGGGUUGUCGCAGGUUCGAAUCCUGCCGGGGGCACC